AUUCUCGUGCCUCAGCCUUCUGAGUGGCUGGGGUUACAGGCAUGCGCCACCACGCCUGGAGAACUUUUUCUUUAUACGUUAAAAUUAAAGAAGUUUUUUUGUGUUUUUAGUAGAGACGGGGUUUCACCAUGUUGGCCAGCCUGGUCUUGAACGCCUGACCUCAGGUGGUCCACCCGCCUCAGCCCCCCAGAGUGCUGGGAUGACAGGCUUGAGCCUCCGCGCCCGGCUCAUAGUCACUUUUAACGGUUACGUUAAGUGUAAAUUUUUAUUUUCCUGGCCAACAUAUUAGUAAGGUGGAAGGUGUGUCGUAGCCCCUACCUGGGCCUUACUAUGCUUUUAGAGGAUUAAAAAAAAAAAAAAUCUUUCUAUCCUUUCUCCUUUUGUUUCUGUCUUCCUAAUUUCCUUUUCCAGCUCUUUCUUUCUUUCUUUGUUUCUUUCGUUGUUUCUGUGUUUCUUUCGUGGUUUCUGUGUUUCCUUGUAUUUUGUCUUUUUUUGCGACAGAGUCUCACUCUGUCACCCAGUUCUGUGUUUCUUUCGUUGUUCCUGUGUUUCCUUAUUUUUAUUAUUAUUAUUUUUUGAGACAGUCUCACUCUUUCACCCAGGCUGGAGUACAAUGGUGUGAUCUCGGCUCACCGCAAUCUCUGCCUCCCAGGUUCAAGUGAUUCUCCUGCCUCAGCCUCCUGAGUAGCUGGGAUUACAGGCGCGUGCCACCGCGCCCAGCUAAUUUUUGUAUUUUUAGUAGAGACGGGGUUUCAACAUUUUGGCCAGGCUGGUCUCAAACUCCUGACUUUGUGAUCCACCCGCCUCGGUCUCCCAAAGUGCUGGAUUACAGACAUGAGCCACCGUGCCCGGCCUCUGUCUGUGUUUCUUUGUUUCUCUCUCUCUCUCUGUCUCUCUUUCUUUCGUUCUCUCUCGCUGUUUCUUUCUCUCUGUCUCUCUGUCUUUGUGUCUUUCUUUCUAGACGGAGCCUUGCUCUGUCGCCAGGCCAGAUAGUGUUUAGUACCGAAUUUUAUUUUCUCCAUUUUCUGUCUUUUUCUUCCUUCCUUCCUUUCUUUCUUCUUCUUUUUAUUUUUUUUUUAAAUUUUCACCUUGAUGCAGGUGGGCGAACGCUGAAAAAGGCAUUAGCCUCUUCUUUCUUUCUUUUUUUCUUUCUUUUUCUUUCUUUCUUUCUUUUUCUUUCCCUCCUUCCUCCCUCCCUUCUGUCCUUUUAUCUGUUCCUUUCCUUUAUUCUUUCUUUCUUUCUUUGUCUUUUAUACUUUCUUUUUUCCUCUCUUUCGCCCUUCUUUCCGUCAUCUCUUUCCUCAUUCUUUCUCUUUUUCAUCUUUCUUCAUUUUCCACCUUUCAUCAUAUACCUUCUCCAGAUUUUUUAAAUUCUGUCUGUUUUCUCCAUCUCCUUCCUCCCCGCUCCCUGCUUGCUUUCUUCCCUCCCUCCUUCCUCCAUCUCUCUUUUUUCUAUCCCCUCCCUCCCUCCCUCCCAUCCCCCACCCCGUGUGGAUUGUGAACGUGUCCUCAUUCGGCGUCUCUCUGUCACCUGAACGACUCGCGCCCGAGUCCUGUGUGUUCUUUCUCCCUCCGAGAUGCAUCUCCAAACACCCACACGUCAUGGGCUUGUCUUUUGACUCUGUCUCGGUCUACGCAGAUACACGUUUGGAGGAGCGUUUCUGUGGGGUUGGGGUGGAGGGGCUGUGUUUUCGGCCUCGGGAAGACUUUCUCGACUCACGGUUUCGGUUUUGCGGUCCGCCGGCCGCCCUGCCAUCCGGAUGUGUCUCGGUGACAGGUUUGGGAUGGUGACAUGUCGCCGGUUUUCGGGCUCCAUCUGGUGGCCGCUUUUAUAUGGUUCUCCUGGCUUCCAGAGCUCCGGUGGCAGCUGCUGAGCGAGGGGAGCGUCCCUGCUGUGAGCUAGGCAGAGCUCCGGAAAGCCUGCGGCUGUCAGCGGGGCUGUCCCUGUGGCGCCAGAGCUCUGGCGAGUCACUUGUGAGUCAGAGCACGGGCGUGCAGGGCUAUAUAGGGGCAGGCUGUCGCCGAGUUUCCAGGCCCGAGCGAGGUGUGCGGGCUGCCGGGGCUGGUCGACCAGCACGCCGUAGCUCCCGAG
This 2092-nucleotide long non-coding RNA is filed under the name Aotus nancymaae (Ma's night monkey). RNAcentral's name for it is "lncRNA (ENSANAG00000039230.1)". Lineage: Eukaryota; Metazoa; Chordata; Mammalia; Primates; Aotidae. The record is from RNAcentral.